GACGAACGCUGGCGGCGUGCUUAACACAUGCAAGUCGAACGGAAAGGCCCUGCUUUUGUGGGGUGCUCGAGUGGCGAACGGGUGAGUAACACGUGAGUAACCUGCCCUUGACUUUGGGAUAACUUCAGGAAACUGGGGCUAAUACCGGAUAGGAGCUCCUGCUGCAUGGUGGGGGUUGGAAAGUUUCGGCGGUUGGGGAUGGACUCGCGGCGUAUCAGCUUGUUGGUUGGGUAGUGGCUUACCAAGGCUUUGACGGGUAGCCGACCUGAGAGGGUGACCGGCCACAUUGGGACUGAGAUACGGCCCAGACUCGUACGGGAGGCAGCAGUGGGGAAUAGUGCACAAUGGGCGGAAGCCUGGUGCAGCAACGCCGCGUGGGGGAUGACGGCCUGCGGGUUGUAAACCGCUUUCGCCUGUGACGAAGCGUGAGUGACGGUAAUGGGUAAAGAAGCACCGGCUAACUACGUG
Molecule: ribosomal RNA, 468 nt
Filed under: uncultured bacterium
Lineage: Bacteria
Description: partial 16S ribosomal RNA
Rfam family: Bacterial small subunit ribosomal RNA
Source: RNAcentral